RNAcentral lists this ribosomal RNA (420 nucleotides) under uncultured bacterium. Its description in RNAcentral is "bacterial SSU rRNA". It matches the Rfam family "Bacterial small subunit ribosomal RNA", at positions 358 to 774 of the family's 1533-position model. The record is from RNAcentral.
GGGAUAUUGGGCAAUGGGGGUAACCCUUACCCAGCCAUGCCGCGUGAGGGAAUGAGGCCCUACGGGUCGUGAACCUCUUUUGCUCGGGGACAAGGACGGCGUCGCGCACGCCGUUUGAGGGUACCGAGGGAAUAAGCGUCGGCUAACUCCGUGCCAGCAGCCGCGGUAAUACGGAGGUGGCAAGCGUUAUCCGGAUUUAUUGGGCGUAAAGCGAGCGCAGGCGGUUUGAUAAGUCUGAUGUGAAAGCCUUUGGCUUAACCAAAGAAGUGCAUCGGAAACUGUCAGACUUGAGUGCAGAAGAGGACAGUGGAACUCCAUGUGUAGCGGUGGAAUGCGUAGAUAUAUGGAAGAACACCAGUGGCGAAGGCGGCUGUCUGGUCUGCAACUGACGCUGAGGCUCGAAAGCAUGGGUAGCGAACA